This 450-nucleotide ribosomal RNA is filed under the name Cryptobranchus alleganiensis (hellbender). Its description in RNAcentral is "partial 16S ribosomal RNA". It matches the Rfam family "Bacterial large subunit ribosomal RNA", at positions 1970 to 2581 of the family's 2925-position model. The record is from RNAcentral. Lineage: Eukaryota; Metazoa; Chordata; Amphibia; Caudata; Cryptobranchidae.
UGUCUUUAAAUGAAGCCGGUAUGANUGGCAAAACGAGAGUUCGACUGUCUCCUUUAAUUGAUCAGUGAAAUUGAUCUUUCNGUGCAGAAACGGAAAUUUAAAUAUAAGACGAGAAGACCCUAUGGAGCUUAAAAUAAAAACCACUUAUUAAGUAUCCACACCAAAAGGUUAACAAUUAAUAUAAUAAAUAUGGUUAAAUUUUUAGGUUGGGGCGACCGCGGAAUAAAACAAAACUUCCGAGAUGAAUAAACUAUUAAAUUUAAGGGUAACAACCCUAAAGAAUAAAAUAUUUAACAUAAUUGACCCAAUAUUUAUUGAUCAACGAACCAAGUUACCCUAGGGAUAACAGCGCAAUCCUUUCCUAGAGUCCCUAUCGACGAACGGGUUUACGACCUCGAUGUUGGAUCAGGACAUCCAAAUGGUUCANNNGCUAUUAANNGNUNGUUNNUU